Molecule: long non-coding RNA, 861 nt
Organism: Musa acuminata AAA Group (dessert banana)
Lineage: Eukaryota; Viridiplantae; Streptophyta; Magnoliopsida; Zingiberales; Musaceae
Exons: 3
Source: RefSeq, a predicted model, not a curated record
UUGAAAUAAUCUUCAGUGGGGCACGGCGUACUGCGCGUUUAGGCCGACCAUUGCUAUCGCAUUUAUGGCUAAUCGUAUGUAUGAACUUGCAGACGGCUAAAAUAUGAAAACUUUCCACAAGAAAAUUGGUGCAGUCAAUCACACACUCCCCUGGAAAAGUCUUUGAAAUGUUGCACACGAUUCUUCUGAUCAGGAUCGAGCCAGCCCCAUAUAUAUCCACAUACACCAUCGCGUUGCUAACAGUGGGCAAGCGUGGGAGCCUUGCAGCAGGUUGCCUCUCCAAACCUAUACAAGCAAAAGCGAACGAGUGAGGAGCAUGGCGUCUCAAGAUAGUAGAAGAAUAAGAAGAAGAGGACAUACCGUUCUCGCUUUCGUUGCCUCCAUGUUCUGGUUGCUGGCAUCGCAGUCCAUUUGCGACGGCCGAGUGUUGAACUACUCGAUUGAUCCGAGCUUGUGGUUGGCGCUUCUUCCCCAAGGCUCUGCUCAACAGCCUAGACAAUCGAGCUGUUGCUAUACGCCUAAUGGUAUAAAGGAUUGUUCUAAUUGCCCGCCUUAACCAAAUAUGACAUGACGGCCGGCCUUUCAAGUCCCUCCGCCACCACCACCAUUACAGUUGCGGAUAAGCUGGAGUUGCAGUAUUUUUCAACACAUAGUACUGCGCGUUCCACAUUCCACGGUCAACAUCGACGCCACAAUAGAGCAUCGCAAGGUCAGAAACCUAAUCGCACCACCCACAGCAACAUGCAUGGAGAAGCUCAUGUACUUCACCGAGCUACCUGUAUUCCCUCAGCAGCGCAUGUACAUAUACAAAGGCCAACAGUGUAAUACUUCAAAUUUUAAUUGUGGACUUAGUUUUAAAGA